UAUUGAAUUGAUUUGAAUUAUAAUUAAUAGAAAACAAGUACAUAAAUCCUAGCAAUGAAGGCAGAAAAACAAAAACGUGAUUAAUAGAAUACAAAAAGCAUUUUGCAGCUUUUGUUUGGGUAGAAUAAACCAGCAUUAAGCUUAAUUUCCACCUUCUUUUUAAUUACUAAUACUAUAACAUUGCCAUAUAUGCUUACUAGCAUGCCACUGAUCGUAUGGAUAAUUUGCAUGGUUAGCACCAUGUACCAUGCCAUUUUGACACUAAAAUCCUCUUCCAAUUCCUCCACCAGCACCACCACCGAAUCCACCACCACCACCACCACCAAACCCACCACCACCACCACCACCGAAUCCACCACCACCACCGAAUCCACCACCUCCACCUCCACCCGCACCACCUCCAAUUCCUCCUCCAACUCCACCACCUGCACCACCCCCACCACCAAGCCCUCCUCCAACACCGCCACCUGCUCCAGCACCACCACCAGCUCCAGCACCACCACCAGCUCCACCUCCUAAACCGGCACCACCGCCAAGCCCUCCUCCAGCACCCCCACCGGCUCCUCCUCCUAAACCACCACCAAGCCCUCCUCCAGCACCACCACCAGCUCCACCUCCUAAACCGGCACCCCCGCCAAGCCCUCCUCCAGCACCACCACCUAAUCCACCCCCACCGCCGCCACCGAACCCUCCUCCUGCACCCCCACCAGCUCCACCUCUAGCACCACCACCACCUCUAAUCCCUACUCCAAAACCACCUCCAAAACCGCCGCCGCCGCCAAAUCCUCCUUUGGCUAUCCCACGCCCACCAAAACCACCAAAAGUAAGCUCUCUCCUAGCACCACCAUCCAAAUCCUCCUCAAACUUUCGACACUCAACUAUCCCUAAAACAAACACAAACAUCAAUGCAAGCACUCUCAAUCUCUUGGAAAUCAUUUUUCCGACCAUUUUCCAAAAAAUAAAAAGUAAAACACUCUCAACUUUCAAAUCUAUCUGUUUGGGACAAAACUCUUAAUCUAUGCUUAUAUAGUAUAUUUUAUACUAUAAAAAGGUUUCCCAUAUCAACAGGUGUUGCUUUUUUUCCUUCACAACUUUCUUGGAUUUGAAUUAGUCAUUGUCUAAGUUUUAGAUUUAGCUUGGCGUGAAUUAACCCUGUAAUUAGACAUGAAAUUAAGUUCGGACACUUGGCUAAAAUGUGAAGUAACAAGCCAUGAAAAACUCAAUAUAAAUUGCAUGUUACAUAGAUUAAUACAUAUGCACUAGCAAGUUGAACCCUAAAUUUUUUGACACCUAAAAUGUAAUUUCACUAUUAGGGGAUUAAAAACAAUAAUUUUUCAUUUUAGGGGGUCAGACCCUUGUCUCCUCCUCCCUUCUUUCCCGUGCACCGGAUGUGUUAGGCAAAAGAUAAAUAAAGCACAAAUAAACAAAGCAUAAGUUACACUAGUAGUCACCUAACUAUUAGUAUUUUUUUUUUUGUUACCUAACCAUGAAAGUUAUAAAAUAAUCACGUAACUAUUCGACUUUUUCUUUUUUGGUUGUCCAACUAUGAAAAGUUACAAGCUGGUCACUGAACUAUUAGUAAAAAAAAUUUUGAUCACCCAACUAUGAAAAAUUACAAAAUGAUCACCCAACUAUUCAAUUUUGUCUUUUUUGUCACCAUUGCCUAAUAGUGACAGCUUUUAAAAUUGUCACAAUAACAACUUUAACUCUCAACAUUUAUACAUUGUGUCAAUUUAGUUUUGAUUAUAAAUAAAUCUAACUCUCAACAUUUACACAUUGUGUAAUUUGGUCCUUUUUGCAAUCUUGCUUUUCUUUGUAAAAAUAUUGGUUUUGAGGUUUUCAAAAUUUUUACAAAAGUUUUAUUGCUUACUCUCUUAUUUUUUUUUCAGUUUUACUUUAUUUUUAGUUUUUACUAUUAAAAGUCAUGCGGUAUUUACUUUUCUUUAAAAUUUUCAUUUUAAAUUAUGUUACAUAAGAUUUAACAUGUCAUUUAAUGGUUAAAUUAAUGGUUUUAAUAACUGAAGGACCUAAUUAAUAUAACAUUGAUAAAAUAGGGAUGUAAUUAGAAGAUUUUAAAAUUUGAAAACUAAUUUAAAAUGAAAAUGAUAGUUUAAUAGUUGCGAGAAAUUUUUAAGUAUAUUUUGAACAAUAAUAUAAUAUUUGAAGUUAAGUCAAUUUCGACAACGUGAAACAAAAAAUUGCACUAACAAUAAUGUCGAUACCAAUCGAGUUAAGACUCUGUCAAAUUAUUUUUCUUAUUUUUGGUACUAUCAUCAUCAUGAGCAUGAUUUGUUUACUUCAUUAAAAUCGAAAUCAACCAAUAAAAAUUGAAUUGUUGAAUUAAAAGUAAGUUAAUGAACAUAUAAUUAUCAUAUUAAUUAGUAUACAAUGUGUAUUUCGUUGUUAAAGUAAAAUAUUUUAAAUUAAAAAAAAGUAAAAAUUAUUGACAAUCAACCAUUAUUGAAUUGAUUUGAAUUAUAAUUAAUAGAAAACAAGUACAUAAAUCCUAGUAAUGAAGGCAGAAAAACAAAAACGUGAUUAAUAGAAUACAAGAAGCAUUUUGCAGCUUUUGUUUGGGUAGAAUAAACCAGCAUUAAGCUUAAUUUCCACCUUCUUUUUAAUUACUAAUACUAUAACAUUGCCAUAUAUGCUUACUAGCAUGCCACUGAUCGUAUGGAUAAUUUGCAUGGUUAGCACCAUGUACCAUGCACAUUUUGACACUAAAAUCCUCCUCCAAUUCCUCCACCAGCACCACCACCGAAUCCACCACCUCCACCUACACCUCCACCCGCACCACCUCCAAUUCCUCCUCCAACUCCACCACCUGCACCACCCCCACCACCAAGCCCUCCUCCAAGACCGCCACCUGCUCCAGCACCACCACCAGCUCCACCUCCUAAACCGGCACCCCCGCCAAGCCCUCCUCCAGCACCCC
RNAcentral lists this long non-coding RNA (2935 nucleotides) under Gossypium raimondii (Peruvian cotton). RNAcentral's name for it is "long non-coding RNA (GRAI_LNC005029)". Lineage: Eukaryota; Viridiplantae; Streptophyta; Magnoliopsida; Malvales; Malvaceae. The record is from RNAcentral.